This 467-nucleotide ribosomal RNA is filed under the name uncultured bacterium. Its description in RNAcentral is "partial 16S ribosomal RNA". It matches the Rfam family "Bacterial small subunit ribosomal RNA", at positions 28 to 506 of the family's 1533-position model. The record is from RNAcentral.
GACGAACGCUGGCGGCGUGCUUAACACAUGCAAGUCGAACGGAAAGGCCCUGCUUUUGUGGGGUGCUCGAGUGGCGAACGGGUGAGUAACACGUGAGUAACCUGCCCUUGACUUUGGGAUAACUUCAGGAAACUGGGGCUAAUACCGGAUAGGAGCUCCUGCUGCAUGGUGGGGGUUGGAAAGUUUCGGCGGUUGGGGAUGGACUCGCGGCUUAUCAGCUUGUUGGUGGGGUAGUGGCUUACCAAGGCUUUGACGGGUAGCCGGCCUGAGAGGGUGACCGGCCACAUUGGGACUGAGAUACGGCCCAGACUCAUACGGGAGGCAGCAGUGGGGAAUAUUGCACAAUGGGCGGAAGCAUGAUGCAGCAACGCCGCGUGCGGGAUGACGGCCUUCGGGUUGUAAACCGCUUUCGCCUGUGACGAAGCGUGAGUGACGGUAAUGGGUAAAGAAGCAGCGGCUAACUACGU